GUCUGGGAAGAUCCCACAUGCCGCGGAGCAACUAAGCCCGUGCACCACAGCUACUGAGCCCACGUGCCACAACUACUGAAGCCUGCGUGCCUACAGCCCGUGCUCCGCAACAAGAGAAGCCACCACAAUGAGAAGCCCGUGCACAGCAAUGAAGACCCAACGCAGCCAAAAAAUAAAUUAAAAAAGAAAAGGUAGGUCUCUGACUUGACCUUUAAUUAAUCAAGGUCUAAAUAGUGACAUUUCUCCGCUUUCAUUUAUCUACUUAAUUUAAAAAAUUUAAAUCCAUCAUCUGUGAUUUGUAAUCAAAUUUCCUUAAGCACUUUCAUUUUGUAUGUUUAAGGUCGGUGCUUUGCCCUCCAGUAGCUCUGUUUCAGGAGGUGAUCUCAGUGCUGGGUAUGCUGCUGCUUCCUCACUCUGGCUGCUAGAUUAGGGGCCUUGUUAUUUUCCUUUGCCUUCACGGGGUCCCACCCUUGCUCAGGGCUCAAGUCCUGCUGCUGGUGUACCUCCAGGGCAACUCCACUAGUUCUGAGAGGCACUGGUGUUUUCUGUCUUGGCAGCCUGCUGGCACUCAAGCCAGAAGGUUGUUUAUCCCCUACUGAGAACUCUCUGCUCUCUGGAUUCCUGAUUCUGGGGCAGGAAGGAUUCAGUCAGUUUGUCAAUUCCCCACUAUCCCUAAGGGCCAGACAGGUGAAAAGGAAUGAGGUUUGGUAUGAUCAUAUAUUAGUGACUUUUCAAUCCUCACACCAGGACUCUUGCUGUUUCUACAGGACCCCAAGGUUUUUAUCUGGCCUGAAAGGGAAAGUCCGGAGUUUAAUCUCUUCUGAAGAGAUCUAAGCAGACUUGAAGUUUAGCUUAUACACUCUACCUGCUUGCUUGGGGGAAGUAGUUGGUAUUUGGGCUGGAGUUGAAAGAGUUGAGCAGUAGGAACUAAUUCACAUGGCUGUUUUCCCUGAAAUCUCCCAAUGUUGAGCUCUUAACUUUGGGUCAUUUGUUAGACAUCUUUUUGUAACUUUUUCAAGGACUCAUGGAUGCUUUAUUUUCUCAGCUCAUCUGAAAUCAUCUGUUUCUUUUUACAUGUUGAAGGAAACUUGAAUAGACAUAAGUGUUUUACCAUUCUAGGGUUGCAGUUUUCUCUUUGAGAACUUUAUAGAUAUUGCUUAAUUAUUUUGGUAUUUGAAAUUGCAGUCAGGCCCACCCCUAAUGUUUACAGGAUCCAAGGCAAGAGUUCAAAUGGAGAUCCAUGUACAAUAUAUCUAAAUAUUUUAAAUGUUUGAAUCAUGAUAACAAACUUAAAAUAUAUUCCAUCCUCUUACCUUGGCAAAUAAAUUUUUAUUACAAUAAAAUUGAAAAAGAUGGGUAGCACUAUGGUUUUUAUAUGACAAAGUACAAAAUAUCAAAGUGGACUGAAUUUAAUUAUUGCACAUAUCUGGGUGUUCAACAGCAGUGUCUGGGUGAGUAAUAAAGUCGUAUGCCUUUGAAUAAUGUUUUUGUUUCUUUUGUUCAGGUCUCUCCUUCAGGAAUGCUGCUUAUUUUGAUUCUAUUCUCUAUAUAUUUGGAUAUUCUUCCGUUGCUUUUAUCUUUUCUUGUCUUUUCAAAUCUUUAUUCUGAAGAAACUUUUUCAUUUGUUUUGCUUUCAUUCUAACAAAAUCAUUAAUUAUAUUCUUAUAAGAAUUUUCUCACAAUAUCUGUUGGUACUAACAUAAAGUAUAAAAAAUGUAUUCCAAGUGUAUAAUAUUUAAAUAUAUUUCAUUAAAAUGGAAAUUAAAAUAAAUAUUAAAAUUAUUUUUGUUUUAAAAAGUUGUCUUAAAAUAUUCAGUUAUUAAAGCUAAAAGACAAAAUAUGAAUACAGCUAGUGUUCAUAUUUUGUCUUUUAGCUUUAAUAACUUUGAAUAUUUUAAGACAACUUUUUUUUUUUUCCUGUACGCGGGCCUCUCACUGUUGUGGCCUCUCCCGUUGCGGAGCACAGGGUCCGGACGCUCAGACUCAGCUGCCAUGGCUCACGGGCCCAGCCGCUCCGCGGCAUGUGGGAUCUUCCCGGACCGGGGCACGAACCCGUGUCCCCUGCAUUGGCAGGCGGACUCUCAACCACUGCGCCACCAGGGAAGCCCAGUGUCUCAAUUUUAAAUAAAAUUUAAAUAAUUUUUGAAACUUUAAUGAAAUGUUAUUAAAUGGUUUUAUAAAUAAAACUCCUUGCAAUUUUAAUGUUCAACGUCCAUCUUGUUGAUAAGGUAAAGAAUCAGUAACACUUCACACGUUACUUGUUAUUUCUACAACUAUUUAUACACAACUGUAAGAGUAAUAAUAAGUUACUUAAUAUUGCAAAGUGUUGAACUUUAUGUACCUGGUGUGAAUACCUUACUAUUUGUGAAUCAUUAUGUCAUUUUAAAAUUUAGUCUUAUUUAGUCUCUUUAGAACAGCUCUGCCACCUUUCCUCCUUGACAUUGCCAUUGGAAGAAACCAGAUCACUUGUCUAGUAAGAUGUCCCACAUUCUUGAUUUGUCUGAUUGUUUAACUUGUUCUUUUAACUCCCAUAUUCCUAUUAACUGGAGGUUUAGCCCAAAGGUUUGGCUGGAAACAUGGUAAACAUUUCUUGGCAAGAAUGCUUCAUGGUUAAUGCUGUAUAUUUAAUAUUGCAUCCCAUCAGUGAGCACAAAGUGUCAAGUUUGUCACUUGGCUAAGAUGAUAAUGCCAGCUCAAUCAGUUGUAAGAUAUGUUUUUCCUUUACAAUAAGCAAGUAAUCUGUGGGGUGAUAUUUGGUUCUGUGCCAAUAUCAUCUUCAAAAACCUUUACCCAAUGGUUUUAACAUCCUGUCUGAAUUAAUUAUUUCAAUAAGAACUGCAAAAAGAUUUUUCCAAUUAAGUAAUUCCUCCUACAUUUAUUAGCUGGCAUUUUUCUCUAAAGAAGAAUUUUCCCUCAUCAACAGGAGAUAAAUAAUAGUUCUUCCCCAAAGGCAGGAUAAAUGUUUAAUUCUUUACAGAGUGAAGAAAUGUUUACCUAUAAGGGAUGAAGAGGCCAUGGGAACAGGAGAAGGAUGGGAGCAAGACUUCUCUGAGAUACAUUCUAAGGACGAAAAGAACUGCAAAGAAAUCUUGAAACUUCACUGGUAAUUUUAUUGCUGAUACGAAUAGAAUUAUGAGGACCCAAGACUUUCACUGCCAGAGAAAAGAUACACAAAUAUAAACCCAGAGGUUCAUAAAAAUCCCUGUAAUAUCAAAUAUGAUUAUUAAUAUGAACUCAUUUAAAAACAUUUAAGAACAUUUCCUAGUUUUGUCCAUGGAAAGAACAUAGAAUUAAUGAUGCCCCAACUGGUAAAAAUAAGAUUCCCAGGUAUAUAUGAUCUCACUCACAAAAUUGGCACUCUAUGGCGAAACUGCAAAGCUGGUUAAAUCCAGUGCUGUACCCCUCAGGUGCCUGCACCUAUGAAGAUGGACUUACCUGGAGAAAAACACACCACACUAACUGAAUUCAUCACCCUAACCUGACGUGGGCCUCAGUGAUACCUCACGGUUGAAGUAUAGAUUCUUGGUCCAUUCACUGUGCUACUCUUUUGAUUAUUUCACACUUCUCUUUUCCCCUGUUUCCAAGUCACUUCCUCUCUCCUCACUCUGCCAGUUUUGCUUCCUAAUUCUCUGAGAAGAUGGAAACAAUCAGAAAAGAACUUCCUAGGCUCUCAUCACAUCUACACUAUACAAUGCAAACCAUCACUCACAUGUAGUCUAGCAUCUUUCCUGCUGUUAUAGAACCUCCCUUUCCUCCACAUAGGGAGAACAUCUCAUCCUCUCCCACCUUGCAUAGGGACAUUACCAGCAUUCUCCCUCCAUCACCGUUGUCCCUCGCUACUUAAUUAUUCCUAUGAGCAUAUACAUAUGUUAUUUCCCCAUCCUUUAGGAAACUUCUCCUAACCCCACUUUCUCUGCCAGCUACUGCCUUGAUUCUCUGCUUGGCAGAAAAACUCCUCAAAAGAGUUAUCUGUAUGUUCCAUAGGGCCCAUGAAACCACCGUCCAUAUAAAUUUAUGGAAUAUUUUAUCUCUCCAGAAGGUUUCCUCAUGCCCCUCCCUAGUCAACACACCCUCAAAAGGUAAUCACUAUUCUGACUUCCAUCAUUAUUUGUUUUGCCUAAACUACAUAUAAAUGCAUCAUCAGUAUGUACUGUUGUGACUACUUUCACUUAAUAUAAUGUCUGUAAUAUUCAUCUGUUUUGUUGCAAGUAUCAGUAGUUUUUUUUUUUUUAAUUAAAUUACUAUGUAGUA
Molecule: long non-coding RNA, 4251 nt
Organism: Orcinus orca (killer whale)
Lineage: Eukaryota; Metazoa; Chordata; Mammalia; Artiodactyla; Delphinidae
Exons: 2
Source: RefSeq, a predicted model, not a curated record